ACAGGGUCUCGCUUUGUCGCCCAGACUGGAGUGCAGUGGUAUGAUAAACAGCUCACUGCAGGCUCAACCUCCCAGGCUCAAGCCAUCCUCCCACCUCAGCCCCCGAGUUGCUGAGACUAGAGGCAGGCACCAUCAUGCCAGGCUCCACUGGCAGAGCAGCAGAGCGGAACAGCAGAGAAGGAGGGAAGAGAAGAAGCAGCUGAACAUUGGAGAGAAGCAGCUUGACUUCAGAGGGACAACUUGACAGCAGGACUUUGGAGAAGAGUUUGGCCAGGGAUGGAACUAAGCUGGCCGAACUCCAAGGGAAGACUACCUUCCCACUCCAUCCUUCUCACUCCAUCCCCUUUCUAGCUGCCCAUCCUGCUGAGAGUCACUUUCAUAGGCAAUAAAAUCCCCCACAUUUACCAUCU
This 410-nucleotide long non-coding RNA is filed under the name Homo sapiens (human). Its description in RNAcentral is "HSALNT0017458". Lineage: Eukaryota; Metazoa; Chordata; Mammalia; Primates; Hominidae. The record is from RNAcentral.